GCUCAACAAUUACAUUUUGCCCAUUUGAUAUUUCUACAGAACAAAAUCAAAAGCCACCUGGAUCAUGUUAUUUUUCCGAAUCAUUAACAAAUGACUUAUUUCAAUAUCUCAAAAUCAUUGCACGCUCGUUUAAUCUUGUGUGAGCGGGAUCAUAUGAACUGCCCCUUAGAAAAAUCUACCUAAAUAAGAAAGUUACGUGCUAUGCAGGUUUGAUAUACCACAUCAGACACUAGUUUAUUCGAAAUAUACAAAUUACAAAAUAAUAAAUACUUAAUUACAACAUACAUAUAUAUUUACUCUCGGUUACAAAAAAUAUCCCAAAUUUUGUGUGAUUUUGAGGAAAUUAUCCAUUCGGGACAUUUUUUGAUACACCCUGUAUAUGCAUUGCUCAACUAAAAGCAUGCAGAAAUAAAAAAUCAGGGGUGGGUUACCAGUAACACCAUGCAGGGACAAGACCAAAGAUUAAAAUUAAGAAAUGCAUAUAAUAUCAUUACUAAAAUAUUAAAACAAAUACUGUAUGUUUGUGUUCUCUUAACAGUUCUCCUGCUUCUCCAGUUCACAUUGAAUCUUUUUCUUGCAUUCUUAGUUAAUUUCGAAAAAUUCUUGGGCCUAUCCACCUCAGUUAAGGCAUUUGCUGUCAGCAUGG
Paramuricea clavata is the source of this 646-nucleotide non-coding RNA. Lineage: Eukaryota; Metazoa; Cnidaria; Anthozoa; Malacalcyonacea; Plexauridae. The record is from the annotation of a GenBank genome assembly.